This 2342-nucleotide long non-coding RNA is filed under the name Homo sapiens (human). RNAcentral's name for it is "novel transcript". Lineage: Eukaryota; Metazoa; Chordata; Mammalia; Primates; Hominidae. The record is from RNAcentral.
GCUGCUCUGUCUAUGGAGUAGCCAUUCUUUUAUUCGAAUACUUUACUCUCCUAACAAACUUGCUUUCAUUUUACUCUACAGACUCACCCUGAAUUCUUUCUUGCACUUGCUCUAAGAACCCUCUCUUGGGGUCUGGAUCCGGACCGCUUUCUGCUAACACUUCUACAUACCACGUUUAUUUGAGACAGAAAAAUACAGCAAGGACAUCCAUCUAAACUUUGUCUGGAGUCUGGGCCCAGGGGAGCUGCAGUACAUGGAGGGUCUCUGGAAGUGGGUAUGGCAGAUUAGCGCCUAAGCUCAACUGGCUUUCCUCCUCUGCCUCUGUUCCUGGGACUUGCUCACGGCUCACAAGGUAGCUUCCCACUGUCAGUCCAUCAGCAACAGCCAGUUAGAGUCGAUUGGGUGUGAGAAGCGAGACUAUUCAUAAGCAGCCUGUCCCCUGUGCCACUGGCUUAUUAAGCAGAGCUAGGCAUAGACAGCUGGGAACUCUGGGCAGCUCCUUUAAAUUUCUCUUUGAAGAAUGUUAAGUAUUCACCAGCAGUGAAGGUUACAAAGGCUGAAGUUUUCUCUCCACCCCCAGCAUUUCCCAGGGGAGUAAAAGGAAGGAUCAAAGCUACAAUGGGCUUGGCUGCCCUUCUCCAGGAAUGGCCAGAGGACAACUUCUGCUUGGAAAGUUCCUGGAUACUUCUGGAACAGAAUUCUCCUGGGGUGAGUGGUUCACACAACUGACCCACUUCAUCCCCACUCAGCAAAAUGAGAGCGCCGUUGACUGACAACAAAAUGCUGAACUGGAAACCUCCGCAGUAAAACGUGAUGCAGAACAGAGAAAGAACUAAGAUGUUCUGCACAGACGGUAUCAUGCCCUCUAUGAGGAAACUACUCGAGCAUAUCUGUGUUUCAAAUGAUGUCUUUGAACUAUUUAUGUUAAAUGCCCCCCCAAAAAAAUGGAAAGGCUUCUUCGUAGAGGAAAGAGCUUGAAGUUGCUAGGCUGUUCUGCCUUCAACAGGCAUUUAUUGUGCAGCUACAAAAUGCUGCACCAAGCACUGGGCAGUGGAAAGGUGAUUCAGACACAGUUCCUUUGACAAAACCUCAAAAUCCCAUGUGAAGUUCUCUUUUAUAAAGUAAAUCAGAAAAGAUUCAAAAGUUGAGGUACCAAAAAAAAAUAAUAUAAAUGCAAGUAGUAAAGCGCUAUUGACUGUAAAUAGAAGCACUUAAUAAGUGGUUGUUGUUUCUGUUCUUCUCUCUAAUAAGUGUAUACAGGUGGCUAAAUGCUUUUGUUGAGCUAUGAGUACCUCAUUCUGUGGAGUGACUCAGAAAGUCUCUAGGUGUUAGACUGGAAACAGGUGAUGUUCAGUGCACGCAAUGCUUGAAGUGUUCCCAGGUAUUUAGUUUCAGGUAAAUUUUACUGUUUAAAAAAAUUGUUUUUACUUGCUAUUAAGUGUGUUGACCUUGGAUAAUUUACUUAACCUCUCUAUGCCUUGCUUCCUUUUCUGCAAAAUGAGAGUAAGAAAAGUGCUUACCUCAUUGGCUUUUUGUGAAAUUCAAUGAGUUAACACGUGGGAGAAAAGAUGUUUUUAAAUAAUCAAUUCUUAGCAGUUGGUCAUUGUUAUGAGUUACAUCAUGCGUAGUUAAAUAUUUUUUAAAAAAUUAAAAUUUAUUUUCCUAUAGGAAAAAGGAGGGACUGAAUUGUGAAUCCAUUUUCUCUGCUUUCAGUUAUUUCUACUCCUGAGAAAAACCCUAAGCACUUAGGGUCUAGAACCACAUCCCGAGACGGUGAGCUCUUCCCACAUUUUCACAUGUGCCUGAAUCAUUUGUAGGUCUCGUUCAAGCAGAGAAUCUCCGGGAUUCUCACUCGGGAGGUCUGGGGUCGGGCCUGAGUCCUUGCAUUUCUAACAAACUCCCAGUUGAUGCUGGUGCCACUGGUUCUGAAUUAAGAUGCUUGUUUACCUAGUGACAGCAACAAAAAUUGUAGCAAUGGUAUCCAGAAAUAAACAGCAUACUUUUAUAGGGCUAGUCAAAUGAACCCAAACAUACAAAAUAAAGGCAAACCUCACAAUCUUCUUGCAAUGAUUUAUUACUCUGAGAGCUCAUUUUAGGUGAGAUUGUCUCCCUCCGGAGCCUGAUUCCUAAAAGCUUUCUAUGACUUUGAAAUUAUCGUUUUCCUUUUGGAGGUAGCACAAUAUAAGAGCUAAGAAGAGAAUGAGAACUGGAGUCCCUCCCAGGUUUGCCCCUCUAGGUAUGUAAGCUAAGGUAAACUACUUAGCCUUUCUUAAGCCUCAGUUUUCUCAUUACAAAUGGGCAUAUACGGAACAUUGGCUUGCCUCCUACAGUUGUUUGAGGAC